This 407-nucleotide ribosomal RNA is filed under the name uncultured bacterium. RNAcentral describes it as "bacterial SSU rRNA". It matches the Rfam family "Bacterial small subunit ribosomal RNA", at positions 509 to 916 of the family's 1533-position model. The record is from RNAcentral.
CAGCCGCCGCGGUAAUACGGAGGGAGCUAGCGUUGUUCGGAAUCACUGGGCGUAAAGCGUACGUAGGCGGCUUUGCAAGUUAGAGGUGAAAGCCCGGGGCUCAACUCCGGAACUGCCUUUAAAACUGCGAUGCUUGAAUCUGGGAGAGGUGAGUGGAAUUCCGAGUGUAGAGGUGAAAUUCGUAGAUAUUCGGAAGAACACCAGUGGCGAAGGCGGCUCACUGGACCAGUAUUGACGCUGAGGUACGAAAGCGUGGGGAGCAAACAGGAUUAGAUACCCUGGUAGUCCACGCCGUAAACUAUGGGUGCUAGCCGUCAGGAAGCUUGCUUUUUGGUGGCGCAGCUAACGCAUUAAGCACCCCGCCUGGGGAGUACGGUCGCAAGAUUAAAACUCAAAGGAAUUGACGG